RNAcentral lists this ribosomal RNA (407 nucleotides) under uncultured bacterium. RNAcentral's name for it is "partial 16S ribosomal RNA". It matches the Rfam family "Bacterial small subunit ribosomal RNA", at positions 355 to 774 of the family's 1533-position model. The record is from RNAcentral.
UGGGGAAUAUUGCACAAUGGGCGAAAGCCUGAUGCAGCAACGCCGCGUGAGGGAUGACGGCCUUCGGGUUGUAAACCUCUUUUAGUAGGGAAGAAGCGAAAGUGACGGUACCUGCAGAAAAAGCACCGGCUAACUACGUGCCAGCAGCCGCGGUAAUACGUAGGGUGCAAGCGUUGUCCGGAAUUAUUGGGCGUAAAGAGCUCGUAGGCGGUUUGUCGCGUCUGCUGUGAAAUCCCGAGGCUCAACCUCGGGUCUGCAGUGGGUACGGGCAGACUAGAGUGGGGUAGGGGAGAUUGGAAUUCCUGGUGUAGCGGUGGAAUGCGCAGAUAUCAGGAGGAACACCGAUGGCGAAGGCAGAUCUCUGGGCCAUUACUGACGCUGAGGAGCGAAAGCAUGGGGAGCGAACA